RNAcentral lists this ribosomal RNA (399 nucleotides) under Morganella morganii. Its description in RNAcentral is "partial 23S ribosomal RNA". It matches the Rfam family "Bacterial large subunit ribosomal RNA", at positions 467 to 867 of the family's 2925-position model. RNAcentral also lists the same sequence under 1 other name. The record is from RNAcentral. Lineage: Bacteria; Pseudomonadati; Pseudomonadota; Gammaproteobacteria; Enterobacterales; Morganellaceae.
UAAAUACUCCUGACUGACCGAUAGUGAACCAGUACCGUGAGGGAAAGGCGAAAAGAACCCCGGCGAGGGGAGUGAAAAAGAACCUGAAACCGUGUACGUACAAGCAGUGGGAGCACCCUUCGGGGUGUGACUGCGUACCUUUUGUAUAAUGGGUCAGCGACUUAUAUUCUGUAGCAAGGUUAACCGAAUAGGGGAGCCGCAGGGAAACCGAGUCUUAACUGGGCGAAUUAGUUGCAGGGUAUAGACCCGAAACCCGGUGAUCUAGCCAUGGGCAGGUUGAAGGUUGGGUAACACUAACUGGAGGACCGAACCGACUAAUGUUGAAAAAUUAGCGGAUGACUUGUGGCUGGGGGUGAAAGGCCAAUCAAACCGGGAGAUAGCUGGUUCUCCCCGAAAGCU